This 446-nucleotide ribosomal RNA is filed under the name uncultured bacterium. Its description in RNAcentral is "partial 16S ribosomal RNA". It matches the Rfam family "Bacterial small subunit ribosomal RNA", at positions 338 to 795 of the family's 1533-position model. The record is from RNAcentral.
CCUACGGGGGGCUGCAGUCGAGAAUCAUUCACAAUGGGGGAAACCCUGAUGGUGCGACGCCGCGUGGGGGAAUGAAGGUCUUCGGAUUGUAAACCCCUGUCAUGUGGGAGCAAAUUAAAAAGAUAGUACCACAAGAGGAAGAGACGGCUAACUCUGUGCCAGCAGCCGCGGUAAUACAGAGGUCUCAAGCGUUGUUCGGAAUCACUGGGCGUAAAGCGUGCGUAGGCGGUUUCGUAAGUCGUGUGUGAAAGGCGCGGGCUCAACCCGCGGACGGCACAUGAUACUGCGAGACUAGAGUAAUGGAGGGGGAACCGGAAUUCUCGGUGUAGCAGUGAAAUGCGUAGAUAUCGAGAGGAACACUCGUGGCGAAGGCGGGUUCCUAGACAUUAACUGACGCUGAGGCACGAAGGCCAGGGGAGCGAAAGGGAUUAGAUACCCCGGUAGUC